CCUACGGGAGGCAGCAGUGGGGAAUAUUGCACAAUGGGGGAAACCCUGAUGCAGCGACGCCGCGUGAGCGAUGAAGUAUUUCGGUUUGUAAAGCUCUAUCAGCGGGGACGAUAAUGACGGUACCCGAUUAAGAAGCCCCGGCUAACUACGUGCCAGCAGCCGCGGUAAUACGUAGGUGGCAAGCGUUUUCCGGAUUUACUGGGUGUAAAGGGAGCGUAGACGGCAAAGCAAGCCAGAAGUGAAAGCCAGGGGCUUAACCCAGGGACUGCAUUUGGAACUGUUUGGCUGGAGUGAAGUAGAGGCAAGCGGAAUUCCUAGUGUAGCGGUGAAAUGCGUAGAUAUUAGGAGGAACACCAGUGGCGAAGGCGGCUUGCUGGGCUGUUACUGACGCUGAGGCUCGAAAGCGUGGGGAGCAAACAGGAUUAGAUACCCGAGUAGUC
RNAcentral lists this ribosomal RNA (440 nucleotides) under uncultured bacterium. RNAcentral's name for it is "partial 16S ribosomal RNA". It matches the Rfam family "Bacterial small subunit ribosomal RNA", at positions 338 to 795 of the family's 1533-position model. The record is from RNAcentral.